AGAGUUUGAUCCUCGGCUCAGGAUGAACGCUGGCGGCGUGCCUAAUACAUGCAAGUCGAACGCACUGUGGUUCAACUGAUUUGAAGAGCUUGCUCUGAUAUGACGAUGAACAUUGCAAUGAGUGGCGAACGGGUGAGUAACACGUGGGAAACCUACCUCUUAGCGGGGGAUAACAUCUGGAAACAGAUGCUAAUACCGCAUAACACUAGCAACCGCAUGGUUGCUACUUGAAAGAUGGUUCUGCUAUCACUAAGAGAUGGUCCCGCGGCGCAUUAGUUAGUUGGUGAGGUAAUGGCUCACCAAGACGAUGAUGCGUAGCCGAGUUGAGAGACUGAUCGGCCACAAUGGGACUGAGACACGGCCCAUACUCCUACGGGAGGCAGCAGUAGGGAAUCUUCCACAAUGGACGAAAGUCUGAUGGAGCAACGCCGCGUGUGUGAUGAAGGGUUUCGGCUCGUAAAACACUGUUGUAAGAGAAGAAUAGCAUCAAGAGUAACUGCUUGGUGUGUGACGGUAUCUUACCAGAAAGGAACGGCUAAAUACGUGCCAGCAGCCGCGGUAAUACGUAUGUUCCAAGCGUUAUCCGGAUUUAUUGGGCGUAAAGCGAGCGCAGACGGUUUUUUAAGUCCGAAGUGAAAGCCCACAGCUUAACUGUGGAAGUGCUUUGGAAACUGGAUGACUUGAGUGCAGUAGAAGGAGAGUGGAAUUCCAUGUGUAGCGGUGAAAUGCGUAGAUAUAUGGAGGAACACAGUGGCGAAGCGCUCUCUGACUGUAACUGACGUGAGCUCGAAAGUGUGGGUAGCAAACAGAUAGAUACCCUG
This 821-nucleotide ribosomal RNA is filed under the name uncultured bacterium. RNAcentral describes it as "bacterial SSU rRNA". It matches the Rfam family "Bacterial small subunit ribosomal RNA", at positions 8 to 789 of the family's 1533-position model. The record is from RNAcentral.